ACGGAAGGCAGCAGUGGAGAAUCUUGCACAGUGGGCGAAAGCCUGAUGCAGCAACGCCGCGUGAAGGAUGAAGGCCCUUGGGUCGUAAACUUCUGUUCUAAGGGAAGAUAGUGACGGUACCUUAGGAGCAAGUCCCGGCUAACUACGUGCCAGCAGCCGCGGUAAUACGUAGGGGGCGAGCGUUAUCCGGAAUUAUUGGGCGUAAAGAGUACGUAGGUGGUUUCCUAAGCAUGGGGUUUAAGGCAAUAGCUUAACUAUUGUUCGCCCCAUGAACUGGGUUACUUGAGUGCUGGAGGGGAAAGCGGAAUUCCUAGUGUAGCGGUGAAAUGCGUAGAUAUCAGGAGGAACACCGGUGGCGAAGGCGGCCUGCUGGACAGUAACUGACGCUGAGGCUCGAAAGCGUGGGGAGCAAACAGGAUUAGAUACCCUGGUA
This 433-nucleotide ribosomal RNA is filed under the name uncultured Anaerovorax sp. Its description in RNAcentral is "bacterial SSU rRNA". It matches the Rfam family "Bacterial small subunit ribosomal RNA", at positions 341 to 792 of the family's 1533-position model. Lineage: Bacteria; Bacillati; Bacillota; Clostridia; Peptostreptococcales; Anaerovoracaceae. The record is from RNAcentral.